CAAGGAAUUUUCCCCAAUGGGCGCAAGCCUGAGGGAGCAACGCCGCGUGCAGGACGGCGGCCUUCGGGUUGUAAACUGCUUUUGCGUGGGACGAUAACGACGGUACCACGCGAAUAAGCCCCGGCUAACUCUGUGCCAGCAGCCGCGGUAAUACAGAGGGGGCAAGCGUUGUCCGGACUUACUGGGCGUAAAGCGCACGCAGGUGGUAAGGCAAGUGGGGUGUGAAAGCCGCCAGCUUAACUGGCGGAGGCCAUCCCAAACUGCCUCACUUGAGGCCUGUAGGUUGUUAUG
This 291-nucleotide ribosomal RNA is filed under the name uncultured prokaryote. Its description in RNAcentral is "partial 16S ribosomal RNA". It matches the Rfam family "Bacterial small subunit ribosomal RNA", at positions 355 to 663 of the family's 1533-position model. The record is from RNAcentral.